Molecule: unclassified non-coding RNA, 334 nt
Filed under: soil metagenome
Description: partial contains 5.8S ribosomal RNA, internal transcribed spacer 2, and large subunit ribosomal RNA
Rfam family: 5.8S ribosomal RNA (bases 1-121)
Source: RNAcentral
GAUGAAGAACGCAGCGAACGUGCGAAACGUAAUGUGAAUUGCAGAAUUCAGUGAAUCAUCGAAUCUUUGAACGCACAUUGCGCCCUUCGGUAUUCCGUAGGGCAUGCCUGUUCGAGCGUCAUUUAAACCUUCAAGCUCUGCUUGGUGUUGGGUGUCUGUCUCGCCUCCGUGCGUGGACUCGCCUUAAAAUCAUUGGCAGCCGGUAGUUUGGCUUCGUGCGCAGCAGAAUACGCGCGUGAGACUGGGCUGUCGGCUUUCCACAAGUCUCUUUUUAGUUUGACCUCGGAUCAGGUAGGGAUACCCGCUGAACUUAAGCAUAUCAAUAAGCGGAGGA